GACGGAGGGCGCAAGCGUUGUUCGGAAUUACUGGGCGUAAAGCGCGGGCAGGCGGUUUGUUAAGUCGCUUGUGAAAAUCCGGGGCUCAACCCCGGAAAUGCAUGCGAUACUGGCAGGCUGGAGACUGGUAGAGGCUAGCGGAAUUCCUGGUGUAGCGGUGGAAUGCGUAGAUAUCAGGAAGAACACCUGUGGCGAAGGCGGCUAGCUGGGCCAGUUCUGACGCUCAUUCCGCGAAAGCGUGGGGAGCAAACAGG
RNAcentral lists this ribosomal RNA (254 nucleotides) under uncultured bacterium. RNAcentral's name for it is "partial 16S ribosomal RNA". It matches the Rfam family "Bacterial small subunit ribosomal RNA", at positions 524 to 776 of the family's 1533-position model. The record is from RNAcentral.